Non-coding RNA from Daphnia pulex (common water flea), 73 nucleotides. The record is from Rfam. Lineage: Eukaryota; Metazoa; Arthropoda; Branchiopoda; Diplostraca; Daphniidae.
GGGGAUGUAGCUCAGAUGGUAGAGCGCUCGCUUAGCAUGCGAGAAGUACGGGGAUCGAUACCCUGAAUCUCCA